RNAcentral lists this small RNA (78 nucleotides) under Marmota monax (woodchuck). Lineage: Eukaryota; Metazoa; Chordata; Mammalia; Rodentia; Sciuridae. The record is from RNAcentral.
GCUGGGCAUGGUGGUGCACGCCUGUCAUCCCAGCUGCUUAGGAGGCUGAGGCAAGAGGAUCGCGAAAGCCAGCCUCAG